Molecule: ribosomal RNA, 465 nt
Filed under: Vreelandella stevensii
Lineage: Bacteria; Pseudomonadati; Pseudomonadota; Gammaproteobacteria; Oceanospirillales; Halomonadaceae
Description: partial 16S ribosomal RNA
Rfam family: Bacterial small subunit ribosomal RNA
Source: RNAcentral
CCUACGGGUGGCUGCAGUGGGGAAUAUUGGACAAUGGGGGCAACCCUGAUCCAGCCAUGCCGCGUGUGUGAAGAAGGCCCUCGGGUUGUAAAGCACUUUCAGUGAGGAAGAACGCCUGGUGGUUAAUACCCAUCAGGAAAGACAUCACUCACAGAAGAAGCACCGGCUAACUCCGUGCCAGCAGCCGCGGUAAUACGGAGGGUGCGAGCGUUAAUCGGAAUUACUGGGCGUAAAGCGCGCGUAGGUGGCUUGAUAAGCCGGUUGUGAAAGCCCCGGGCUCGACCUGGGAACGGCAUCCGGAACUGUCAAGCUAGAGUGCAGGAGAGGAAGGUAGAAUUCCCGGUGUAGCGGUGAAAUGCGUAGAGAUCGGGAGGAAUACCAGUGGCGAAGGCGGCCUUCUGGACUGACACUGACACUGAGGUGCGAAAGCGUGGGUAGCAAACAGGAUUAGAUACCCUGGUAGUC